GGCCGCCAUCAGGUCUCUUCUCAAGUGAAUAAGGCAUAUAGGUUCCUAGAAUUCUGUCCCAUAUGUCAAAGUAGACAGAGAAGUUGUAUUUGGUACCAUAAAGCUGAUGGUGGACAUCAUGGUAUGCCGAAUUGUUGUUAAAAAAGAGGUAAAAGGGGUUUCCGGGAAGCUUCAUCCCGCAAUGAUCAUCCACUAAUUUAAGGAUGGUAAAGGAGGAGAAAAACAUGGCAAUCCGAGGAGACAUGCCGGAGAGGAGUACAGCUAAUGUUCCGCCCAUGGUGUCCAAGAACCCCUCAAUUGGAUGCAUAUACUGUCCUCCAAAUGAAUAGGGAACAACCAGCCGGUGAUGCGGAACAUGAAGGUGUUUGUAUAAAAACUUGUUCUGAUGCAAGUACCAAUGCACAAAAAACGACCAUGUAUCUAUCACCACCAUUGCUAUCACCAAUUGCUUGGCUAGAAGAAGCAAGGUUAGUGAUUUCUUUGGAGAUGCCUCACCAUCUUUUUCUCUUGUUACCUGCAACCAAAACAAAUUAAGUUCCAAGUUCUGAUACAAAUAGAAAAUGGUGGUGCUCUGAUAUUUUAUCUGAUCCUUGAAAGUUACAAACUUACAAUAAAAAAGAAGAAAAAAUUUUGUUUAUAAUUGCAUCAAAAGAAAGGAAAAGGAAAAUAAAAAGAAAAGCCAUUAAUUACUACUCAUACCGCAUACGUGAAGAGGUUAAUAGCAAUUGACAUGACUUGAUGGCAAAGAACGGCUUUGAAGACUUCCUUUCUGGAAACCAAAUUCUUCUCCUCCUCUUCUUUCUUGGAGUGCAACUUGUACUUCUCAAACCUUGACUCAAACAUCACAUACAUACCUGAGUAU
This 862-nucleotide long non-coding RNA is filed under the name Gossypium barbadense (sea-island cotton). RNAcentral's name for it is "long non-coding RNA (GBAR_LNC014281)". The record is from RNAcentral. Lineage: Eukaryota; Viridiplantae; Streptophyta; Magnoliopsida; Malvales; Malvaceae.